Molecule: ribosomal RNA, 468 nt
Filed under: Prosthecina sp. n. Huautla
Lineage: Eukaryota; Metazoa; Arthropoda; Insecta; Zygentoma; Nicoletiidae
Description: Prosthecina n. sp. Huautla partial 16S ribosomal RNA
Rfam family: Bacterial large subunit ribosomal RNA
Source: RNAcentral
UGUUGAGUGUGGGAUCUGGCCUGCCCAAUGAGGCAUUGAAUGGCCGCGGUAUUUUGACCGUGCAAAGGUAGCAUAAUCAUUAGUCUUUUAAUUGAGGUCUGGAAUGAAUGGUUGGACGAGGRRAAGCUUUCUUGGGRCUAUGRUGUUGAAUUUUAUUUUUUAGUGAAAAGGCUAAAAUUAUCUUGRGGGACGAUAAGACCCUAUAGAUCUUUAUAUCUCGCUUUUUAAGAAANGUCGUGGUAUUUUGUGGGGUGACAGGAAGACAUUARUAACUCUUCUAGURUAGRUUUAUURAURAAUAUAAGUAGGAUCCGCCUUUGGCGAUUAUUAGAUUAAGUUACCUUAGGGAUAACAGCGUAAUUUCUUUUGAGAGUUCAUAUCGACAAGGGAGGUUGCGACCUCGAUGUUGGAUUAAGGGAUUCUUUGUGGUGCAGAAGCUACAGNGGGAAGUCUGUUCGACCUAUUAAA